Molecule: unclassified non-coding RNA, 300 nt
Filed under: Zea mays
Lineage: Eukaryota; Viridiplantae; Streptophyta; Magnoliopsida; Poales; Poaceae
Description: misc RNA Zm00001eb354600
Source: RNAcentral
AAGCAGCCGAGGAGGGAGCUCGCGGCUGAGGUUGAAGAUGUCAAGCUGCUGUCGGCCGGCAGCAGGGGGAGGGCGGUCCGGCCAUGGAGGGAAGGAGUCGUGCUCCCUGUUGCUGGCGUGGGGAAUCCAGGGAAGAAGAUGGCGUCUGCUGCUGCGCGAUGGCGAGGCCGAGCUGGGAGAUGCAGCGUGCGCGAGGAAGAAGGGGCAGGGGCUGGGGCCACCGCGCCCUGGCUGGCCGAGGGGAGGAGCAGGCCUGGGCGCCAUGGGAGGAAGGGAGCCGAGCUCCCUGCGCGCUGGCUG